This 279-nucleotide ribosomal RNA is filed under the name Acartia tonsa. Its description in RNAcentral is "partial large subunit ribosomal RNA". Lineage: Eukaryota; Metazoa; Arthropoda; Copepoda; Calanoida; Acartiidae. The record is from RNAcentral.
UCCGGUUUGAACUCAGAUCAUGUGCGAAAAAGAGGUCGAACAGACCUUUUAUUCCUAAUUUCUGCUUUAGGAAGAAUUCGCAAUUCAACAUCGAGGUCGCAAACAAUUAUUUUAAUAUGGGCUUUAAUAAUUAUUACGCUGUUAUCCCUAGAGUACCUUUUUCACCUAGUUUUAUUAAGAUCAGUUUAGUUCAAAAUACUUUCAUUUUUAUUUACCCCAAAUAAAUUUUUUAGAUUAAUUUAAAAAAAUAAAGGUUCAUAGGUCCUUCUCGUCAAAUCU